AAACCUGCAGGGAGGUCCCAGAGCACACGACCGCUCACCUCAUUCGACUCGAGCAACCCUCUUGCUCCAGUCCAAGACAGGAGCAUGGAAGAGGACUCGAGUCAGAGCAAAGGACUGCAUGAUGUCACUCUCUUUGACAUGGCCACGAUUGCCUCCUCCACCGACAACUUCGCGGCGGCGGCCAAGCUCGGCGAAGGCGGUUUCGGCGCCGUCUACAAGGGUGAGCUUGGGGGAGGGCAGAAGGUGGCGGUGAAACGGCUGUCCAAGUACUCGACGCAGGGCCUGGACGAGUUCAAGAACGAGGUGGUGCUCAUCGCCAAGCUCCAGCACGUGAACCUCGUCAGGCUCUUGGGCUGCUGCGUCCAUGGAGAGGAGAGGAUCCUGGUGUACGAGUACAUGGAGAACAAGAGCCUGGACAUGCUCCUCUUCGAUAAGGCUCGAUCGGCGCAACUGGACUGGCCGAAGCGGUUUGACAUCGUACUGGGCGUCGCACGGGGGCUCCUGUACCUGCACCAGGACUCGAGGUUCAAGGUCAUCCACCGGGACCUCAAGGCCGGCAACAUCCUCCUCGACGGCGACAUGAACCCCAAGAUCUCCGACUUCGGCGUCGCCAGGAUCUUCGGUGGCGACGGCGCCGACUCACACACCCGAAGGGUCGUCGGGACAUACGGGUACAUGUCCCCCGAGUACGCCAUGGACGGCGUCUUCUCGGUGAAGUCCGACGUGUUCAGCUUCGGCGUGCUGGUGCUCGAGAUCGUCAGCGGCAGGAAGAACCGGGGAAUGUACAGCAGCGGCGAGCAGACGAGCCUGCUCAGCCACGCAUGGAAGCUGUGGAGGGAGGGCAACGCGCUGGGGCUGCUAGACGAGGCGGUGGCCAGCGGCGGCGACCGGGAGUCGGAGGAGGUGCUGCGGUGCGUGCAGGUCGGGCUGCUGUGCGUGCAGGAACGGCCGGAGGACCGGCCGCACAUGGCCACGGUGUUUCUGAUGCUGGCCAACCUGAGCGCGUUGAUGCCACAGCCUAGGCACCCGGGCUACUGCAGCGACCGGGGAUCAACCUCCACCGACGGCGACUGCUCCUUGAGCUGCACCGUCAAUGAAAUCACCCUCACCGUCGUCGAGGGCCGGUGA
Molecule: ribosomal RNA, 1128 nt
Filed under: Triticum aestivum (bread wheat)
Lineage: Eukaryota; Viridiplantae; Streptophyta; Magnoliopsida; Poales; Poaceae
Description: partial small subunit ribosomal RNA
Source: RNAcentral